RNAcentral lists this transfer RNA (72 nucleotides) under Panulirus homarus (Indian spiny lobster). RNAcentral's name for it is "tRNA-Glu". It matches the Rfam family "tRNA". Rfam says of the family: Transfer RNA (tRNA) molecules are approximately 80 nucleotides in length. Their secondary structure includes four short double-helical elements and three loops (D, anti-codon, and T loops). Further hydrogen bonds mediate the characteristic L-shaped molecular structure. tRNAs have two regions of fundamental functional importance: the anti-codon, which is responsible for specific mRNA codon recognition, and the 3' end, to which the tRNAs corresponding amino acid is attached (by aminoacyl-tRNA synthetases). tRNAs cope with the degeneracy of the genetic code in two manners: having more than one tRNA (with a specific anti-codon) for a particular amino acid; and 'wobble' base-pairing, i.e. permitting non-standard base-pairing at the 3rd anti-codon position. The record is from RNAcentral. Lineage: Eukaryota; Metazoa; Arthropoda; Malacostraca; Decapoda; Palinuridae.
UUUUUUAUAGUGUAAUUUUUAACACAUUACAUUUUCAAUGUAAAGAUGAAGAUCAUACUUCUUCUAAAAAUA